GUUAAGCGACUAAGCGUACACGGUGGAUGCCCUGGCAGUCAGAGGCGAUGAAGGACGUGCUAAUCUGCGAUAAGCGUCGGUAAGGUGAUAUGAACCGUUAUAACCGGCGAUUUCCGAAUGGGGAAACCCAGUGUGUUUCGACACACUAUCAUUAACUGAAUCCAUAGGUUAAUGAGGCGAACCGGGGGAACUGAAACAUCUAAGUACCCCGAGGAAAAGAAAUCAACCGAGAUUCCCCCAGUAGCGGCGAGCGAACGGGGAGGAGCCCAGAGCCUGAAUCAGUGUGUGUGUUAGUGGAAGCGUCUGGAAAGGCGCGCGAUACAGGGUGACAGCCCCGUACACAAAAAUGCACAUGCUGUGAGCUCGAUGAGUAGGGCGGGACACGUGGUAUCCUGUCUGAAUAUGGGGGGACCAUCCUCCAAGGCUAAAUACUCCUGACUGACCGAUAGUGAACCAGUACCGUGAGGGAAAGGCGAAAAGAACCCCGGCGAGGGGAGUGAAAAAGAACCUGAAACCGUGUACGUACAAGCAGUGGGAGCACGCUUAGGCGUGUGACUGCGUACCUUUUGUAUAAUGGGUCAGCGACUUAUAUUCUGUAGCAAGGUUAACCGAAUAGGGGAGCCGAAGGGAAACCGAGUCUUAACUGGGCGUUAAGUUGCAGGGUAUAGACCCGAAACCCGGUGAUCUAGCCAUGGGCAGGUUGAAGGUUGGGUAACACUAACUGGAGGACCGAACCGACUAAUGUUGAAAAAUUAGCGGAUGACUUGUGGCUGGGGGUGAAAGGCCAAUCAAACCGGGAGAUAGCUGGUUCUCCCCGAAAGCUAUUUAGGUAGCGCCUCGUGAAUUCAUCUCCGGGGGUAGAGCACUGUUUCGGCAAGGGGGUCAUCCCGACUUACCAACCCGAUGCAAACUGCGAAUACCGGAGAAUGUUAUCACGGGAGACACACGGCGGGUGCUAACGUCCGUCGUGAAGAGGGAAACAACCCAGACCGCCAGCUAAGGUCCCAAAGUCAUGGUUAAGUGGGAAACGAUGUGGGAAGGCCCAGACAGCCAGGAUGUUGGCUUAGAAGCAGCCAUCAUUUAAAGAAAGCGUAAUAGCUCACUGGUCGAGUCGGCCUGCGCGGAAGAUGUAACGGGGCUAAACCAUGCACCGAAGCUGCGGCAGCGACACUAUGUGUUGUUGGGUAGGGGAGCGUUCUGUAAGCCUGUGAAGGUGUGCUGUGAGGCAUGCUGGAGGUAUCAGAAGUGCGAAUGCUGACAUAAGUAACGAUAAAGCGGGUGAAAAGCCCGCUCGCCGGAAGACCAAGGGUUCCUGUCCAACGUUAAUCGGGGCAGGGUGAGUCGACCCCUAAGGCGAGGCCGAAAGGCGUAGUCGAUGGGAAACAGGUUAAUAUUCCUGUACUUGGUGUUACUGCGAAGGGGGGACGGAGAAGGCUAUGUUGGCCGGGCGACGGUUGUCCCGGUUUAAGCGUGUAGGCUGGUUUUCCAGGCAAAUCCGGAAAAUCAAGGCUGAGGCG
Molecule: ribosomal RNA, 1517 nt
Filed under: Escherichia coli
Lineage: Bacteria; Pseudomonadati; Pseudomonadota; Gammaproteobacteria; Enterobacterales; Enterobacteriaceae
Description: partial 23S ribosomal RNA
Rfam family: Bacterial large subunit ribosomal RNA
Source: RNAcentral